This 497-nucleotide ribosomal RNA is filed under the name uncultured bacterium. Its description in RNAcentral is "bacterial SSU rRNA". It matches the Rfam family "Bacterial small subunit ribosomal RNA", at positions 899 to 1397 of the family's 1533-position model. The record is from RNAcentral.
ACUCAAAGGAAUUGACGGGGGCCCGCACAAGCGGUGGAGUAUGUGGUUUAAUUCGACGCAACGCGAAGAACCUUACCAGGGCUCGAACGGGGGGGUAAACCCGCCGAAAGGCGGGCUGCUUCGGCGAUCCUCCCGAGGUGCUGCAUGGCUGUCGUCAGCUCGUGUCGUGAGAUGUUGGGUUAAGUCCCGCAACGAGCGCAACCCUUGCUCCUAGUUACCAGCGCGUUAUGGCGGGGACUCUAGGGGGACUGCCUCGGAUAACGGGGAGGAAGGCGGGGAUGACGUCAAGUCAUCAUGGCCCUUACGUCCUGGGCUACACACGUACUACAAUGGCUGCGACAACGGGUCGCAAUACCGCGAGGUGGAGCUAAUCCCUUAAACGCAGCCCCAGUUCAGAUUGCAGUCUGCAAUUCGACUGCAUGAAGGUGGAAUCGCUAGUAAUCGCGGAUCAGCACGCCGCGGUGAAUACGUUCCCGGGCCUUGUACACACCGCCCGU